GGCCUGAUGGUCUAGUAGUAUGAUUCCUUGUUAGGGUUGUCGUGAACUCAUCUCGAGGAGGUCCCGGGUUCAAUUCCCGGUCAGGCCC
Molecule: transfer RNA, 88 nt
Filed under: Termitomyces sp. T159_Od127
Lineage: Eukaryota; Fungi; Basidiomycota; Agaricomycetes; Agaricales; Lyophyllaceae
Description: tRNA-Pro
Rfam family: tRNA
About the family: Transfer RNA (tRNA) molecules are approximately 80 nucleotides in length.
Source: RNAcentral